GUUCAGCCAGGCCCGUUUCCAGCAAACGUUGACUCCUUCCCUUAGGUAUGUGUUGCUCUCCAUGACACGCUAACAACAGCUCUUCACAGAAGUGCCUGGCUGGGGCUGUAAAGGUUGAAACAAAAAAUGGGAAAGCUGGUGGUGAUUUAAGGGAGGAAAGACGAAGAUUUGGCUUCCUGAAGCAUAUACCAUGCUUAGAAAUGGAGAGGAGAUGUCUGUUUCUUCUGUCUGAUCUUCAAGAAGUGCUUUCUAAACCUUUCAUAACUUGAGAAGUUAACUGGCAUGGCCAAACCAAGCAAGCAGCAAGGCAGGCGGCUGUUGUCAUGAGACUAUGGAAAUUAUGUUAGACAAAAGCAAAUUCGAGUGAUUGGAGUUCAAACUUGGAGCUAUUGGAGUUCAGAAUGGGUCGUAAAGCAGCGGAGACAACUCACAACAUCAACAAUACGGUUGGCCCAGGAACUGCUACUGAAUGUAAAGUGCAGUGGUGGGUCAAGACGUUUCAUAAAGGAGCCGAGAGCCUUGAAGAUGAGGAGUGCAGUGGUGGCCAUCGGAAGGUGACAAUGACUAAAUGAGAGCAAUCAUCGAAGCUGAUCCUCUUACAACUACUCAAGAAGUUGCCAAGGAACUCAACAUCAACCAUUCUAUGGUUGUUCGGCAUUUGAAGCAAAUUGGACAGGUGAAAAAGCUCAAGAAGUGGGUGCCUCAUGAGGUGACUGAAUUAAAAAAAAAAACAUCAUUUUCAAGUGUUGUCUUAUUCUACGCAACAACAACAAACCAUUUCUCGAUCGGAUUGUGACGUGACAAAAAGUGCAUUUUAUAUGACAACCGGCAACCACCCGCAAAGUGGUUUGACUGAGAAGAACCUCCAAAGCGCUUCCCAAAGCCAAACUUGCACCAAAAAAGGUCCCAGUUUAUUGAUCUGCUGCCAGUCUGAUCCACUGCAGCUUUCUGAAUCCCAGUGAAACCGCUACACCUGAGAAAGAUGCUCAGCAAAUUGAUGAGAUGCACCGAAACCUGCAACACCUGCACCCAGCAUCAGUCAACAGAAAGGGCCCAAUUCUUCUCCAUGACAACACCCAAUCAGGUCACACAACCAACGCUUCAAAAGCGGAACAAAUUGGGCUACGGAGUUUUGCCUCAUCUGCUUCAUUCACCUGACUUCUUCCCAACUGACUACCACUUCUUCAAGCAUCUCAACAGCUUUUUUUCUGCAGGGAAAACUCUCCCAAAACCAGCAGGAUGCAGAAAAUGCUUUCCAAGAGUUCAUCGAAUCCUGAAGCAUGGAUUUUUACACUACAGGUAUGAACCAACUUAGUUCUUAUUGGCGAAAAUGUGUUGACUGUAACAGUUUCUGUUGUGAUGAAUGAGAUGUGCUUGAGCCUAGUUAUCAUGAUUUAAAAUUCACGGUCGGAAACUGCAAUUACUUACGCACCAACUAAAUAUAAAGUAACUUAUAAAAAUGA
Columba livia (rock pigeon) is the source of this 1463-nucleotide long non-coding RNA. RefSeq lists it as uncharacterized. NCBI's taxonomy places the organism in Eukaryota, Metazoa, Chordata, Aves, Columbiformes, Columbidae. The transcript is spliced from 4 exons. The record is from RefSeq and is a predicted model, not a curated record.